This is a long non-coding RNA of Parus major (Great Tit), 357 nucleotides long. RefSeq lists it as uncharacterized. The transcript has 2 exons. The record is from RefSeq and is a predicted model, not a curated record. Lineage: Eukaryota; Metazoa; Chordata; Aves; Passeriformes; Paridae.
UCCACGGGGCACGCGCGGUACUGAGGGCUCUGAGGGCUCUGAGGGCUCUGAGGGCCCUGUGCCCGGGGCUGGCGGGCCGGGCAGCGCCCCAUCAUGCAUGGGCAACCGGGACCAGCGCUUCCUAGGACCUUGACACAGCUGCAUGUAACCCUACCCCAAAGAUACAGAUUAAUCUUAGCGGUGGAUGGAAAUACGGGCCGAGACUAGAGAAGGCAAGCUUCGUCUACACCGAGAAUCUGUCAGAAGAGUCCCUGUGCUGAGGACCAUACAACCUGAAGCAUACACUGCCAGUUUGCAUUGUACAUGUUGAUGGAGUGGUACUUGAAGCUCAGGGAAAUAAAAUCAGCCUUAAAUUUA